GAACAUUUACUUCCAUAAAAGAGCAGCCAUUAUUUCCCUUAUUUCCAUUUUGUUCACAGUACAUUCACGUUGGUGUGUGUCAUUUGUAGAUCAUUCUCGAGUAUGCCAGCUCACAGAGCAAGAAGAUAUGCUUAGUGACCCUUGGAAAAGCGAUUUCUGGCUGUCACUUAGGCUGAAACUGUUAAGAUGAUAAAUCCAAGAACAGACAUGGGAAAAGUUUUAGGAGGUGCUUUUACUACUCAUCAGAUGGUCUGGAACGCCUUACCUCCUAACUCAGUAAAUGGACAACAGUUUCUAUCAAUUACUUGUGCACUUUUAUCCAUCCAUUAACAAAAUCUGCUCAAUCCAAUCCAGCUCUGGAUUGGGCAUGUAUUUAUAUGACUGGUUUAAAAAUAAAAGUAAGUGUUGGCUUAA
Long non-coding RNA from Erpetoichthys calabaricus (reedfish), 414 nucleotides. RefSeq lists it as uncharacterized. NCBI's taxonomy places the organism in Eukaryota, Metazoa, Chordata, Cladistia, Polypteriformes, Polypteridae. The record is from RefSeq and is a predicted model, not a curated record. The transcript has 2 exons.